UACGAAGGGGGCUAGCGUUGCUCGGAAUCACUGGGCGUAAAGGGUGCGUAGGCGGGUUUUUAAGUCAGGGGUGAAAUCCUGGAGCUCAACUCCAGAACUGCCUUUGAUACUGAAGAUCUUGAGUCCGGGAGAGGUGAGUGGAACUGCGAGUGUAGAGGUGAAAUUCGUAGAUAUUCGCAAGAACACCAGUGGCGAAGGCGGCUCACUGGCCCGGUACUGACGCUGAGGCACGAAAGCUGGGGGAGCAAACAGG
RNAcentral lists this ribosomal RNA (253 nucleotides) under uncultured bacterium. RNAcentral's name for it is "partial 16S ribosomal RNA". It matches the Rfam family "Bacterial small subunit ribosomal RNA", at positions 524 to 776 of the family's 1533-position model. The record is from RNAcentral.